This is a long non-coding RNA of Hibiscus syriacus, 329 nucleotides long. RefSeq lists it as uncharacterized. The record is from RefSeq and is a predicted model, not a curated record. Lineage: Eukaryota; Viridiplantae; Streptophyta; Magnoliopsida; Malvales; Malvaceae. The transcript is spliced from 3 exons.
UGACUUUGAACCUUAUCAUUUGAAAAACUGUGGCUAAUGUGUCAACAGAGGUGUAUGGCACAAAUGCUUCUGCUUAUUGGUCCUGGAGUUCUUAUUUCGACCUUCUGUCUUGGAUCUGGUUUGAAGCUUACUUUUCCAUAUGAGUGGAACUGGAAAACAUCAUUGUUGCUUGGGUGACUUCUUAGUGCCACUGAUCAUGUUGCUGUUGUGGCAUUGUUGAAGGAUCUUGGUGCUAGCAAAAAGCUGAGCACCAUAAUUCAAGGAGAAUCCUUGAUGAAUGAUGGGACAACAAUUAUGGUAUAUCAGUUAUUUUAUAGAAUGGUACUUGG